Molecule: ribosomal RNA, 2892 nt
Filed under: Escherichia coli
Lineage: Bacteria; Pseudomonadati; Pseudomonadota; Gammaproteobacteria; Enterobacterales; Enterobacteriaceae
Description: bacterial LSU rRNA
Rfam family: Bacterial large subunit ribosomal RNA
Source: RNAcentral
ACUAAGCGUACACGGUGGAUGCCCUGGCAGUCAGAGGCGAUGAAGGACGUGCUAAUCUGCGAUAAGCGUCGGUAAGGUGAUAUGAACCGUUAUAACCGGCGAUUUCCGAAUGGGGAAACCCAGUGUGAUUCGUCACACUAUCAUUAACUGAAUCCAUAGGUUAAUGAGGCGAACCGGGGGAACUGAAACAUCUAAGUACCCCGAGGAAAAGAAAUCAACCGAGAUUCCCCCAGUAGCGGCGAGCGAACGGGGAGCAGCCCAGAGCCUGAAUCAGUGUGUGUGUUAGUGGAAGCGUCUGGAAAGGCGCGCGAUACAGGGUGACAGCCCCGUACACAAAAAUGCACAUACUGUGAGCUCGAUGAGUAGGGCGGGACACGUGGUAUCCUGUCUGAAUAUGGGGGGACCAUCCUCCAAGGCUAAAUACUCCUGACUGACCGAUAGUGAACCAGUACCGUGAGGGAAAGGCGAAAAGAACCCCGGCGAGGGGAGUGAAAAAGAACCUGAAACCGUGUACGUACAAGCAGUGGGAGCACGCUUAGGCGUGUGACUGCGUACCUUUUGUAUAAUGGGUCAGCGACUUAUAUUCUGUAGCAAGGUUAACCGAAUAGGGGAGCCGAAGGGAAACCGAGUCUUAACUGGGCGUUAAGUUGCAGGGUAUAGACCCGAAACCCGGUGAUCUAGCCAUGGGCAGGUUGAAGGUUGGGUAACACUAACUGGAGGACCGAACCGACUAAUGUUGAAAAAUUAGCGGAUGACUUGUGGCUGGGGGUGAAAGGCCAAUCAAACCGGGAGAUAGCUGGUUCUCCCCGAAAGCUAUUUAGGUAGCGCCUCGUGAAUUCAUCUCCGGGGGUAGAGCACUGUUUCGGCAAGGGGGUCAUCCCGACUUACCAACCCGAUGCAAACUGCGAAUACCGGAGAAUGUUAUCACGGGAGACACACGGCGGGUGCUAACGUCCGUCGUGAAGAGGGAAACAACCCAGACCGCCAGCUAAGGUCCCAAAGUCAUGGUUAAGUGGGAAACGAUGUGGGAAGGCCCAGACAGCCAGGAUGUUGGCUUAGAAGCAGCCAUCAUUUAAAGAAAGCGUAAUAGCUCACUGGUCGAGUCGGCCUGCGCGGAAGAUGUAACGGGGCUAAACCAUGCACCGAAGCUGCGGCAGCGACACUAUGUGUUGUUGGGUAGGGGAGCGUUCUGUAAGCCUGUGAAGGUGUACUGUGAGGUAUGCUGGAGGUAUCAGAAGUGCGAAUGCUGACAUAAGUAACGAUAAAGCGGGUGAAAAGCCCGCUCGCCGGAAGACCAAGGGUUCCUGUCCAACGUUAAUCGGGGCAGGGUGAGUCGACCCCUAAGGCGAGGCCGAAAGGCGUAGUCGAUGGGAAACAGGUUAAUAUUCCUGUACUUGGUGUUACUGCGAAGGGGGGACGGAGAAGGCUAUGUUGGCCGGGCGACGGUUGUCCCGGUUUAAGCGUGUAGGCUGGUUUUCCAGGCAAAUCCGGAAAAUCAAGGCUGAGGCGUGAUGACGAGGCACUACGGUGCUGAAGCAACAAAUGCCCUGCUUCCAGGAAAAGCCUCUAAGCAUCAGGUAACAUCAAAUCGUACCCCAAACCGACACAGGUGGUCAGGUAGAGAAUACCAAGGCGCUUGAGAGAACUCGGGUGAAGGAACUAGGCAAAAUGGUGCCGUAACUUCGGGAGAAGGCACGCUGAUAUGUAGGUGAAGUCCCUCGCGGAUGGAGCUGAAAUCAGUCGAAGAUACCAGCUGGCUGCAACUGUUUAUUAAAAACACAGCACUGUGCAAACACGAAAGUGGACGUAUACGGUGUGACGCCUGCCCGGUGCCGGAAGGUUAAUUGAUGGGGUUAGCGCAAGCGAAGCUCUUGAUCGAAGCCCCGGUAAACGGCGGCCGUAACUAUAACGGUCCUAAGGUAGCGAAAUUCCUUGUCGGGUAAGUUCCGACCUGCACGAAUGGCGUAAUGAUGGCCAGGCUGUCUCCACCCGAGACUCAGUGAAAUUGAACUCGCUGUGAAGAUGCAGUGUACCCGCGGCAAGACGGAAAGACCCCGUGAACCUUUACUAUAGCUUGACACUGAACAUUGAGCCUUGAUGUGUAGGAUAGGUGGGAGGCUUUGAAGUGUGGACGCCAGUCUGCAUGGAGCCGACCUUGAAAUACCACCCUUUAAUGUUUGAUGUUCUAACGUUGACCCGUGAUCCGGGUUGCGGACAGUGUCUGGUGGGUAGUUUGACUGGGGCGGUCUCCUCCUAAAGAGUAACGGAGGAGCACGAAGGUUGGCUAAUCCUGGUCGGACAUCAGGAGGUUAGUGCAAUGGCAUAAGCCAGCUUGACUGCGAGCGUGACGGCGCGAGCAGGUGCGAAAGCAGGUCAUAGUGAUCCGGUGGUUCUGAAUGGAAGGGCCAUCGCUCAACGGAUAAAAGGUACUCCGGGGAUAACAGGCUGAUACCGCCCAAGAGUUCAUAUCGACGGCGGUGUUUGGCACCUCGAUGUCGGCUCAUCACAUCCUGGGGCUGAAGUAGGUCCCAAGGGUAUGGCUGUUCGCCAUUUAAAGUGGUACGCGAGCUGGGUUUAGAACGUCGUGAGACAGUUCGGUCCCUAUCUGCCGUGGGCGCUGGAGAACUGAGGGGGGCUGCUCCUAGUACGAGAGGACCGGAGUGGACGCAUCACUGGUGUUCGGGUUGUCAUGCCAAUGGCACUGCCCGGUAGCUAAAUGCGGAAGAGAUAAGUGCUGAAAGCAUCUAAGCACGAAACUUGCCCCGAGAUGAGUUCUCCCUGACUCCUUGAGAGUCCUGAAGGAACGUUGAAGACGACGACGUUGAUAGGCCGGGUGUGUAAGCGCAGCGAUGCGUUGAGCUAACCGGUACUAAUGAACCGUGAGGCUUAACC